Molecule: long non-coding RNA, 318 nt
Filed under: Mytilus galloprovincialis (Mediterranean mussel)
Lineage: Eukaryota; Metazoa; Mollusca; Bivalvia; Mytilida; Mytilidae
Source: RNAcentral
GACGUCUAUUAUCUUCGGACAGUGUACACGCCGCCUAAAACGAUAUCCAUACCCAUUGACCGAAAAAAAAACUAAUUUUGAACUUGUAGGUCUGUUAAUAGAACCAUUUCAAAAUUUAAAUGUCACUGUUUCGGAAAUGUCUCGUGGGGCAACAGAUAAUGCCACGUUUUUUUUUUCAAAUAAUGUCACGAAAAUGAUCAUGGGGGAGAUUUGUAAGACUAAAGGACAAAAAAUAAGAUUGAACAAACCUGUUUUACUUACGAUUGAUUGUCAAGCUGGUCUCCGAAACAUUUUGGGGGAUUGAAACUUGGAUUUGCA